CCAUCCUCGCCCCUGUGGCGGAAAUGGGAGGGUGCCUGGAGGAGUGGAGGGAUUGGAUUUACACCCUCUUUUCCCUCCGAAGCCUCCUUGGUGGGGGCGAAGAAAGACCAUCCAACCCUGCCAAAGGCAAAAGGAUUAAGGAUAAAUGAAAGCAAGAUAAUGUAGAAGAACUACUUAGCUGCUGGGUUUUUGGAGAUGAGUGAUUUUUUUUUGUAGGGAGAAAUUAUGAAACACAUUGAAAUGGACAAAAAAUUACUGAAUGUCUUCAAUGAAAAAACAGCCAUAGUUUGGCACACCGUCCCGGGCAUUCUGUUGCUAGAGGGGCUGUCCGCUUUUCUUUGUGGUGCUCUGCACAACUCGUUCCCUCUGGAAAGGCAUCAGGGGAGGCAUUUGGGAAAGCUGGCACUUUCCUUUUGCCCUUCACAUCACAUGAUUGAUUGGAAAAAUGGGAAAUGACAAGUGGCAUCAACAAGCGGGGCAAAGAGCUAGCCCAGUCAACCUACGAUGGGCCCCAUUCAAGGGGCACAGAGGGACAGAGGGACAGAAGGCUGAAGACUGGCUGGCUGGGGUGCAGCGAUGCUACAGAACGCCCCAUGGGACUUGGCAUGAAUAGGAAGCGUGGCCAGCUUAGGGCCAGGCAAGAAGCAUUCAGUUCAGAUCAGGGAAGAGCAUGGGGCCCUUGGACAUCCUCAGGUAUCUUGCAGAGUGAGCCUCUUCUCUGGAGACUUUGCAGCAGGUCCUAGCUUUGCCUGCUCUACCCAUCAUGGUAACCACAGCCUGGUGUGUCUGGAAAACUGCUAGUUCAGCAUGGUGCAGCUCGGAUGGCCUUGGGGUGUGGUGGGCCAUGAAACUGAAGGGCAGUGUGGGAGUCGGGGGCACACUCACAAUAUAAAUUUGCAACUGGGACGAUAUUUUGGAAAAAUAUUAAUGUGCUUUUUCUCUUUUACUUUUCUGAAUAUCUGACAUUCUCUCUAUCUGCCUAAGGCAUUCAUUUACAUGGAGAGAUUAAGAUUGUUCUAAAAUACUUACCAAAACAACAAAAACAUUAUUAUUCACCUUUUGACUUUCAAAAUAAGAGUUUUAUAGUUUUUUGAUAUAUAAUUGAAAUACAAUAAACUGAAUAUAUUGAAAGUGUACAAUCUGAUGAGUUUCAACGUAAGUGAAAUGGCCAUCACAAUCAAAAUAAUGAACAUAUCCUCACCUCCAAAAGUUUCCUGGCUCCCCAACUCGGUUCUCAGGCAAGCACUGAUUUGCUCUCUGUUACUACAGAUUAAUUUGCAUUUUCUAGAAUUUUAUAUAAGUGGAAUCAUACAGUAUUUACACAUUUUGUCUGGUUUCUUUCACUCUGCAUAAUUAUUUUCAGACUCAUUUUUAUUGCUGCAGGAAUUGAUAGUUCCCUCCUUUUUAUUGCUGUGUAAAAUUCCAUUGUAUGAUACAGUGCAAUUUGUUUAUUUACCAGUUGAUGGGCCUUUGGUUGUUUCCAGUUUUUGGCUGCUACAAAUAAAGCUGCUAUGAACGUUUGUGUGCAUGUCUUUGUGCGGACAUAUGCUUUCAUUUCUCUUGGGAAAAUACCUAGGAGUGUAAUGUCGGUGUCACCUCAUAGAUGUAUUUUUAUUGUUUUAAGAAAUUGGCUGUUCCAAAAAGUAGUUGCACCAUUUUAUACUCCCACUAACAGGGUGAGUUCCAGUUGCUCCAUAUCUUCACCAACACUUAAUAUGGCCAGUCUAUACUUUUAACCAUUCUAGUAGGUGCAUAUAAGGUAAUAUGGUUUGGAUCUGUGUCCCUGCCCAAAUCUCAUGUUGAAUUGUAGUGUUGGAAGUGGGGCCUACUGGGAAAUGAUUGGAUCAUGGGGCUGGUUUCCAACGGUUUAGCACCAUCUCCUUGGUGCUGUCUUGUGAUAGAGUUCUCGUGAGGUCUAGUUGUUUAAAAGUGUGUAGCACCUCCCCCUGCUUCCUCCUGCUCCAGCCAUGUAAGAUGUGCCUGCUUCCCCUUUGCCUUCCGCCAUGAUUGUAAGUUUCCUGAGGCCUCUCCAGGAGCAGAUGCUGCCAUGCUUCCUGUACAGCCUGCAGAAUUGUCAGCCAAUUAAAC
This 2088-nucleotide long non-coding RNA is filed under the name Homo sapiens (human). RNAcentral describes it as "HSALNT0300944". Lineage: Eukaryota; Metazoa; Chordata; Mammalia; Primates; Hominidae. The record is from RNAcentral.